RNAcentral lists this ribosomal RNA (497 nucleotides) under uncultured bacterium. Its description in RNAcentral is "partial 16S ribosomal RNA". It matches the Rfam family "Bacterial small subunit ribosomal RNA", at positions 28 to 507 of the family's 1533-position model. The record is from RNAcentral.
GUUGAACGCUGGCGGCGUGCCUAAUACAUGCAAGUCGAGCGAACACACGAAGCACUUUCUUCUUUUACUUUCGCGUCGCACAGGUGUGUGACACGUCGGUAACCCUCCUCUAUGACUGGGAUUACUUCCUGAAACCGGUGCCUAUUCCCGCUUAUCUUUCCAACCGCAUGGUUCGAUACUUUAAGAUGUCUUUCCUUUCACUUUUCGCUGGUCCUGCUCCGUAUUAGCUAGUUGGUAAGGUAACGGCUUACCCAGGCAACGAUACGUAGCCGACCUGAGAGGGUGAUCGGCCACACUGGAACUGAGACACGGUCCAGACUCCUACGGGAGGCAGCAGUAGGGAAUAUUGCGCAAUGGGCGAAAGCCUGACGGAGCAACGCCGCGUGAAUGAUGAAGGUCUUCGGAUCGUAAAGCACUGUUAGUAGGGAAGAACAAACGAGAAAGUAAAUGCGCACGUAUUGACGGUACCUAAUCAGAAAGCCACGGCUAACUACGUG